GAACCCUUGGCACAGUGGUAGCGCGUGAGAUUCCAGUUGGUGGAGCAAUCCACCCAAGGGAAGUCCUCAAGGUCGUCCGUUCGAUCCGGGCAGGGUUCA
This 99-nucleotide transfer RNA is filed under the name Pilatotrama ljubarskyi. RNAcentral describes it as "tRNA-Trp". Lineage: Eukaryota; Fungi; Basidiomycota; Agaricomycetes; Polyporales; Polyporaceae. The record is from RNAcentral.